UACGUAGGGCGCAAGCGUUGUCCGGCAUUAUUGGGCGUAAAGAGCUCGUAGGCGGUUUGUCGCGUCUGCUGUGAAAACCUAAGGCUCAACCUUGGGCUUGCAGUGGGUACGGGCAGACUAGAGUGCGGUAGGGGUGACUGGAAUUCCUGGUGUAGCGGUGGAAUGCGCAGAUAUCAGGAGGAACACCGAUGGCGAAGGCAGGUCACUGGGCCGCAACUGACGCUGAGGAGCGAAAGCAUGGGGAGCGAACAGG
This 253-nucleotide ribosomal RNA is filed under the name uncultured bacterium. Its description in RNAcentral is "partial 16S ribosomal RNA". It matches the Rfam family "Bacterial small subunit ribosomal RNA", at positions 524 to 776 of the family's 1533-position model. The record is from RNAcentral.